This is a long non-coding RNA of Suricata suricatta (meerkat), 380 nucleotides long. RefSeq lists it as uncharacterized. The transcript is spliced from 2 exons. The record is from RefSeq and is a predicted model, not a curated record. NCBI's taxonomy places the organism in Eukaryota, Metazoa, Chordata, Mammalia, Carnivora, Herpestidae.
UAUGUCUUUCCCUCUGGUAUCUGGGAGAAGAGAGGUGACCAAGACAACAGCCUGAUGUACCCAGAGCAUAACCAAGAACCACAAAUAAGGCAGAAAAGGGCUUCAAACUAAAAUCACUGGCACGAAAUUCUUGUCCUAAAGCCUUGCUGUAUCUUGCUUCUGCCUUUCUUUCCUGAUUGGAAAGGAUGAUUAAUUUUUUGUCUUCCUGUAUAUUCCAAAGUCCUCCAGCCCACCUCUGGGACAACAGCAACUUGUAGUCUUUGUAGGCCUGAAAGUCCUUGGAACUGAAGUGAAAGCUGUUCUAAAACCUGCUGAAGCGCCUGGAGGCUACAGGCCCAUUGAAAAUACUGUCAAGGACGUGUAAUAAAACCGAACAAGAC